RNA transcript from Columba livia (rock pigeon), 1603 nucleotides. It is a transcript of the gene named NME/NM23 family member 7, with no coding region annotated. The record is from RefSeq and is a predicted model, not a curated record. NCBI's taxonomy places the organism in Eukaryota, Metazoa, Chordata, Aves, Columbiformes, Columbidae. The transcript has 13 exons.
GCGGCUGACGGGCCCCAAUCGCUGGGCCGCGCACGGGGGCGGGGCUUCGGUUGCCAGGGCGCGGCUUCGCGCGGCGUCACGUCGCGGCCGCAGGCUGAGGCGGGCUGGUCGCUGCCAUCGCCAUCGCCAUCGCCAUGAGUCAAGAUGACAGAUUUGCUUUCACUGCUGAAUGGUAUGAUCCAAAUGCUUCACUCUUUCGACGUUAUGAACUUCUGUAUUAUCCAAAAGAUGGAUCAGUUGAAAUGUAUGAUGUGAAGAACCAUCGCACCUUUCUGAAGCGUACCAAGUAUGAGAGCUUACACCUUGAGGAUUUAUUUGUGGGCAACAAAAUUACUGUUUUUUCCCGUCAUCUGUCCUUAGUGGACUAUGGGGAUCAAUACACAGCCCGCAAGCUGGGGAGCCGCAAAGAAAGAACACUGGCUUUGAUUAAACCUGAUGCAGUGCCCAAGAUUGGAGAAUUAAUUGAUAUCAUUAUUAAUGCAGGAUUUACAAUAACUAAGGCCAAAAUGAUGGUGCUUUCAAGAAAAGAAGCAGUUGAUUUCUACGUAGACCAUCAAUCAAAACCUUAUUAUAAUGAGCUUCUGGAGUUUAUAACGAGUGGUCCCAUUGUUGCUAUGGAAAUCUUAGGAGAUGAUGCAAUUUGUAAAUGGAAAACAUUAUUGGGGCCAGCAAACUCUGCAGUGGCUAAGACUGAUGCACCAGACAGCAUUAGAGCGAACUAUGGACAUGAUGGCCUAAGAAAUGCAGCUCAUGGCCCAGAUUCAGUUGCUUCAGCUGCUCAAGAGCUGGAGUUGUUCUUUCCCUCCAGUGGAGGUCGCGGACCAGUCAACAGUGCAAAAUUCACAAACUGUACUUGUUGCAUUAUUAAGCCUCAUGCAGUUAAUGAAGGGCUAGCUGGAAAGAUUAUAAAUGCCAUCAUCAAUGAGGGAUUUCGGAUCUCAGCAUUGCAGAUGUUCAACAUGGAGCGUACAAAUGUGGAAGAAUUUUUUGAGAUUUACAAAGGUGUUGUCGCUGAAUAUGUGGAGGCUCCAGGGAAACAGAUGAUUUUGGUGUAACUGAGAUUGUGGUAACAGUACAAAGCACAAGAAUGUUGCCAGAUCCAGGACCCUUUCCCUAACAGGAGAUGGUCACAGAGUUGUGUUCAGGCCCUUGCAUAGCAAUGGAGAUUAUACAACCCGAGCCUCCAAAAGUGUUCAGAGACUUCUGUGGUCCUUCUGACCCUGAAAUAGCUCGACAUCUCCGACCUGGAACUCUGCGUGCUGUCUUUGGGAAGAACAAGAUUCAGAAUGCUGUCCACUGCACAGACCUACCUGAAGAUGGACUUUUGGAGGUACAGUACUUCUUCAAGAUUCUGGACAACUAACAGCCUCCAUCCUCACCCAAAACAAAAGACAUGCACACAGAUCUGUGUGUUCAUUCAUUUAUUUGUCCAAUGUUUCAACCUGACUGAAAUACAAGAUCAACAAGAGCACUGUACUCCUGGCUAUUAUUAUUACAUGUUAGAACAUAGAGUUUUGCACUUUAGACAACAUUUAACACCAUUCUAUGGGGUACUGCAUUGCUUUUAUAAAGUUUAAAAUAAAGAUUUUUUUUUCUUUUCAAA